Molecule: long non-coding RNA, 1126 nt
Organism: Daktulosphaira vitifoliae (grape phylloxera)
Lineage: Eukaryota; Metazoa; Arthropoda; Insecta; Hemiptera; Phylloxeridae
Exons: 5
Source: RefSeq, a predicted model, not a curated record
GUUUAUGAUUAUUAGGAUUCGACGAUUAUAGUUUUUACAUUUUGUCGUAUUGUUUGAAAUCUAAACUUGAGGUAUUUGAUUGAAAUUUCUCAGUGGCUAAUGUCCCAUAGCAUUCAUUGAACACAUUUCCCCGUUUCAUAAAUAGAUUUUGAACAAAAUAUUUGUGAGUAAGAGGUAAGAUAUUGAGGCACUUGACCAGUGUUCGAAAUCAAAAAUAAUAGCAGAAUUUUUACGUGCAUAACUGUAUACACAGCAUACCGCAAAUAAAGAUCCUGUUCAGUAAAUUUCUGUAUAUUAAAAGUACGCCUUCCCUUAGGAAUCAUUACUAUAAUCAAAUUCAUGUAAUUCAAAGAAUUUAUGGAACUCCCUAACGAAAUUACUUAUUAGCAUAAAGAAAUACAACAUAGCGGAUAUGAGAUUGUGUGGAGACCGCAAUACAAAUAAAUCGGAAUUUUAAAGCAGAAAAAACGUAAAAUCUGUUCCAGGCUGUGCUACACUGUUGUGCCAGGAUAACUGAGCUGUAGAUUGUUGGCUGUCAUCACUAUUGGAUUUCUGGCACAGAUGGCGUUUGUUGUGUCCGAAGGACUGCUUCAAUAACGGUUCAGUCCGUUGGCCAAGAGCGCAGUCUCUAACUGCUAACCGAUUUAUUACACAAACUGCGGGUGGCUUGGAUAGCAACAACAUUAUCAUUUUUUUUUUUUUUUUUACUCACGGUGUGUCGUUCAUUUUUGUUUAGCCCGUGCUUUUCCCUUACCGUUGGAAGAAAACCAAAAAGAUCGCAUUUCAUAUAUACUGCCAUUAUUUUGUUGUCUUCUCGGUGACAUCUAACUGCCGAACACAGCUUGGAAAACACUACUGUUGGCCUUCGGAGUUCAUCGAGAAAACGACUACAGACUUAUCCAUCGAUCGUACUUUAAAGUUAUUAUUGAAUUAUGUUUUUUUACAUAAACUCUGUUCUAUUUUUUUUUUUCGUGCAUAAAACUAAAAAAAAUUAAAAAUUGGAGUUUAAUUUGAUUAUAUAACUUUUUAAAUUAUUUAUUUUAUGCAUAAUUAGUAAUUAUAAUUAAAGGAACACAUGUGAAUUUUUAAAUUAAUUUUUAUGCGUCAUACAAUUAAUAUAACACCG